GGCUGGUCCAAAGGGAGUGAGUUAUCUCAUUUGAUUGUUCACAGUCAGCUACAGAUCCAACUCCUUGUUCUACUCUUUCCCCCCCUUCUCACUGCUGCACUUGACUAGACUAAA
Unclassified non-coding RNA from Gorilla gorilla gorilla (western lowland gorilla), 114 nucleotides. It matches the Rfam family "Y RNA". Rfam says of the family: Y RNAs are components of the Ro ribonucleoprotein particle (Ro RNP), in association with Ro60 and La proteins. The Y RNAs and Ro60 and La proteins are well conserved, but the function of the Ro RNP is not known. The record is from Ensembl. Lineage: Eukaryota; Metazoa; Chordata; Mammalia; Primates; Hominidae.